GUGGGGAAUAUUGCACAAUGGGCGCAAGCCUGAUGCAGCAACGCCGCGUGAGGGAUGACGGCCUUCGGGUUGUAAACCUCUUUUAGUAGGGAAGAAGCGAAAGUGACGGUACCUGCAGAAAAAGCACCGGCUAACUACGUGCCAGCAGCCGCGGUAAUACGUAGGGUGCAAGCGUUGUCCGGAAUUAUUGGGCGUAAAGAGCUCGUAGGCGGCUUGUCGCGUCUGCUGUGAAAUCCCGGGGCUCAACCCCGGGCCUGCAGUGGGUACGGGCAGGCUAGAGUGCGGUAGGGGAGAUUGGAAUUCCUGGUGUAGCGGUGGAAUGCGCAGAUAUCAGGAGGAACACCGAUGGCGAAGGCAGAUCUCUGGGCCGCUACUGACGCUGAGGAGCGAAAGCAUGGGGAGCGAACAGGAUUAGAAACCCUAGUAGUCC
RNAcentral lists this ribosomal RNA (430 nucleotides) under uncultured bacterium. Its description in RNAcentral is "partial 16S ribosomal RNA". It matches the Rfam family "Bacterial small subunit ribosomal RNA", at positions 354 to 796 of the family's 1533-position model. The record is from RNAcentral.